RNAcentral lists this transfer RNA (74 nucleotides) under Candidatus Omnitrophota bacterium. Its description in RNAcentral is "Candidatus Omnitrophica bacterium tRNA-Pro". It matches the Rfam family "tRNA". From Rfam's summary of the family: Transfer RNA (tRNA) molecules are approximately 80 nucleotides in length. Lineage: Bacteria; Pseudomonadati; Candidatus Omnitrophota. The record is from RNAcentral.
CGGGGAGUAGCGCAGUUUGGUAGCGCACCUGAAUGGGGUUCAGGGGGCCAGCGGUUCAAGUCCGCUCUCCCCGA